UUGCAUUCUGGGAUCUGAGAACAGCCAUUCUCCAUCUUGCUUUUUUACGGCAAAAGAUAAAUGUUACCAUGCAGAUACAUGUUUAGGUUGUUAUUAAACCAUUUAUUUCCAAAUAAGAGUUUCGUAUUCAAUAUUGUCAUGCAGUCUGGGCUGAUUCCUUGAGUGUGCGUUUUUGUGGCGUGUUUGAAAGACUUUCAGGUGCUUGCACUCGUGUAUCCGAUGCUUUAGGGGUGUCGGGUCUUUGGUGACUGCUACUGAACUCUACCGGCGUCUGAAAUGGGUCGUUCACGGAGCCGCAGCUCCUCCCGCUCCAAGCACUCAAAAAGCAGCAAGCAUAAUAAAAAGCGAAGCCGCUCUCGAUCAAGGUCCCGGGACAAAGAGAAGAAGAUGCGCUCGAAGUCCCGAGAGGCCAAAAGAAGUCGCAGGAGAGAAUCGCGCUCUCGGUCCAGAUCAAACACGGCCACGUCUCGUCGUGAAAAGGACAGACCCGUCACGCUGCCGGAGAAAAUCGAUAUUUUCGGGAGGGCGUUAAGUAAGAGGAGUGCUGUAGACGAAAAGCAGAAGAAAGAGGAAGAAGAGAAGAAAGUCGAAAUGGAAAGACAGAGGAGAAUUCGACAGUUGGAGAUAGAGGAGCGUCUGAUUGAGGAGGAGACGGCACGGCGCGUAGAGGAACUUGUAGCCAAACGCGUGGAGGAGGAACUGGAAAAGCGAAAGGAUGAGAUUGAAAGAGAAGUGUUGCGACGGGUGGAGGAGGCCAAGCGCAUCAUGGAGAAGCAGUUGCUAGAGGAGCUGGAGAGACAGAGACAAGCAGAACUGGCUGCUCAGAAAGCUCGGGAGUUGCUUGCGGUUAGAAGUGAUGAAAGUUGUUCACGCUUCUGUUCCUCCUAUACACCAUUUGAGCUGACUGCUCCUCAGACGGCACUUCACUGUGUGGCUUUUUUCUGAGAGUGAGAUGUCAGUAGAGAUGUACCCAGAACACAGGUCAGUGGUUUGAAAGAACCUCCCUUGCUGUUUGGUGGUAUAUUGUUCAGUUAAAAAAAAAAAAAGAACGUAUUCCCAAUUUGACCAUGACUCUUAUAGGAAAUGUUUCUUGGUGACUGAAGAACAAGUUUACUGUAGGUUGAGCCGUGUCUGGUGAGCUGAACGUAUCUUCAUUAUCUACUCAUUUGCGUGUUUUUUCAAGUUGUGCAAGUUAUUUUUGGGAAUAAUUAUGUUGUUUGUCACUACAGUUCAACUGAAGCUGUUUGCCUUCGCAGGAGGAAGAGAAAUCAAAGCGUGAAGAACUGGAAAAGAUUCUGGUGGAGAACAAUCGCAAGAUAGCCGACGCUCAAGCUAAACUGGCAGAGGACCAACUACGAAUAGUUGAAGAGCAGAGGAAAAUACAUGAGGAGCGUAUGAAGCUGGAACAAGAGCGACAGAAACAGCAGAAAGAAGAACAGAAGAUCAUUUUGGGAAAAGGGAAGUCGAGGCCUAAACUGUCUUUCUCUUUAAAGGCAUCUGAGUGAUGAAAACAAUGUGGCCAGGAUUACUCCAGACUUUCUCCAGACCACUUCUUCAUGUGAGGCAUUUGAUCUGCAACACAAGUUGUUCUUCGUAGGUCUCAUGUGGUGUGUUUCAAAUUCUAAGAACAAUGGGAACAAUCAGUUUGUCAAAUACCCUUCAGUCUUUUUUCCUCUUUCACCUGUCUGUUUUGUAUUACUGACUCUUGUAUAGAUAACCACCACUCGUCCUCCAGGUAAUCUCUGCAAACUCAUUUGGCGAAUAGUACGAGUAGGGUUAAAAAAAUGUCUGGGCUGACCUGCUCAUCCAAAUAUACGUCACGGUUUUAAGUUUCAAUAAUUCAAGACCUCGACAGAUUCUCCUAGCUGAUUUGAUUGAAGUAUUUUUUUUUUAAAUAAGUUUAUUCAUAGUAUAAAGUAAUUCGAAUGAAAGUUUGACUGGGAAAUAGCUUGAAGUCCAUCAUAUUUGAAUAGCACAAACCUAGGCCAGAGUUAAAUGGUAAUCAGUCCAACCAAGAAGUUUCAUAAAACAAGAGUAAACUCCUUUUAUCAUUUUUUACUUCCACAUUAAUAAUUGUACAUUCAAGACUUGAUGCUGUAAUAAAGGGUACCUGGUUGUUGCAUGUCAGUGAGCUGUGCAUAUGUUAGUGAUGAGAUAGUUUUAGAAGUGAUGGAGUGAAAGGUUGCUGAUUGGCCAGAAUUUGUUUGUGGUUUAAUAUUUGACCCACUUAUCAAGGAUAUGUCAAGAAUCUCCAAUAAAUCCAUGAAAACGU
Molecule: RNA transcript, 2272 nt
Organism: Carassius auratus (goldfish)
Lineage: Eukaryota; Metazoa; Chordata; Actinopteri; Cypriniformes; Cyprinidae
Gene: arglu1b
Gene name: arginine and glutamate rich 1b
Exons: 4
Source: RefSeq, a predicted model, not a curated record